RNAcentral lists this ribosomal RNA (254 nucleotides) under uncultured bacterium. RNAcentral's name for it is "partial 16S ribosomal RNA". It matches the Rfam family "Bacterial small subunit ribosomal RNA", at positions 524 to 776 of the family's 1533-position model. The record is from RNAcentral.
UACGUAGGGUGCAAGCGUUGUCCGGAAUUAUUGGGCGUAAAGAGCUCGUAGGCGGUCUGUUGCGUCGGCUGUGAAAACCCGGGGCUCAACCCCGGGCCUGCAGCCGAUACGGGCAGACUAGAGUUCGGCAGGGGGAGACUGGAAUUCCUGGUGUAGCGGUGAAAUGCGCAGAUAUCAGGAGGAACACCGGUGGCGAAGGCGGGUCUCUGGGCCGAUACUGACGCUGAGGAGCGAAAGCGUGGGGAGCGAACAGG